This 460-nucleotide ribosomal RNA is filed under the name uncultured bacterium. RNAcentral's name for it is "partial 16S ribosomal RNA". It matches the Rfam family "Bacterial small subunit ribosomal RNA", at positions 338 to 795 of the family's 1533-position model. The record is from RNAcentral.
CCUACGGGUGGCAGCAGUGAGGAAUAUUGGUCAAUGGACGUAAGUCUGAACCAGCCAAGUCGCGUGCAGGAAGACGGCUCUAUGAGUUGUAAACUGCUUUUGUACGAGGGUAAACGCAGAUACGCGUAUCUGUCUGAAAGUAUCGUACGAAUAAGGAUCGGCUAACUCCGUGCCAGCAGCCGCGGUAAUACGGAGGAUUCAAGCGUUAUCCGGAUUUAUUGGGUUUAAAGGGUGCGUAGGCGGUCGUAUAAGUUAGAGGUGAAAUCCCGAGGCUCAACUUCGGAAUUGCCUCUGAUACUGUGCGGCUAGAGAGUAGUUGCGGUAGGCGGAAUGUAUGGUGUAGCGGUGAAAUGCUUAGAGAUCAUACAGAACACCGAUUGCGAAGGCAGCUUACCAAGCCAUUUCUGACGUUGAGGCACGAAAGCGUGGGGAGCAAACAGGAUUAGAUACCCGAGUAGUA